AGCAGCCGCGGUAAUUCCAGCUCCAAUAGCGUAUAUUAAAGUUGCUGCAGUUAAAAAGCUCGUAGUUGAAUUUCGGGAUUAGUACGCUGGUCAUGCCUUUGGUAUGUACUGGUGUUACUGAUUCCUACCUUCUGAAGAACCGUUAUGUCAUUCAUUUGGUGUGGCGGGGAAUCAGGACUGUUACUUUGAAAAAUUAGAGUGUUUAAAGCAGGCUCGCGCUUGAAUACAUUAGCAUGGAAUAAUGAAAUAGGACGUUGAUCCUAUUUUGUUGGUUUCUAGGAUUGACAUAAUGAUUAAUAGGGAUAGUUGGGGGCAUUAGUAUUCAAUUGUCAGAGGUGAAAUUCUUGGAUUUAUUGAAGACUAACUACUGCGAAAGCAUUUGCCAAGGAUGUUUUUCAUUAAUCAAGAACGAAGUUAGGGGAUCGAAGACGAUCAGAUACCGUCGUAGUCUUAACCAAUAAACUAUGCCGACUAGGGAUCGGAU
This 484-nucleotide ribosomal RNA is filed under the name uncultured Glomus. Its description in RNAcentral is "SSU rRNA". It matches the Rfam family "Eukaryotic small subunit ribosomal RNA", at positions 569 to 1058 of the family's 1831-position model. Lineage: Eukaryota; Fungi; Glomeromycota; Glomeromycetes; Glomerales; Glomeraceae. The record is from RNAcentral.